UACUUUGUGCAGUGGCAGUAUCGUAGCCAGUGAGGUUUAUCUGAGGCGCGAUUAUUGCUAAUUGAAAACUUUUCCCAUAAACAAGGCUUCUUGUUGACAUGAGUUGUGGUUCUAGUCCACAGGGAACAACUAAUUGUUGAAUUGGGGUACAUAGGGUAAAGCAGUCCU
RNAcentral lists this small nuclear RNA (168 nucleotides) under Podarcis muralis (Common wall lizard). RNAcentral describes it as "U4 spliceosomal RNA (ENSPMRG00000004837.1)". It matches the Rfam family "U4 spliceosomal RNA". Rfam says of the family: U4 small nuclear RNA (U4 snRNA) is a component of the major U2-dependent spliceosome. The structure of U4 snRNA from yeast and human has been reported. The record is from RNAcentral. Lineage: Eukaryota; Metazoa; Chordata; Lepidosauria; Squamata; Lacertidae.